Molecule: ribosomal RNA, 492 nt
Filed under: uncultured bacterium
Lineage: Bacteria
Description: partial 16S ribosomal RNA
Rfam family: Bacterial small subunit ribosomal RNA
Source: RNAcentral
AGUGAACGCUGGCGGUAGGCCUAACACAUGCAAGUCGAACGGCAGCACAGUAAGAGCUUGCUCUUACGGGUGGCGAGUGGCGGACGGGUGAGGAAUACAUCGGAAUCUACUUUUUCGUGGGGGAGAACGUAGGGAAACUUACGCUAAUACCGCAUACGACCUACGGGUGAAAGCAGGGGAUCUUCGGACCUUGGGCGAUUGAAUGAGCCGAUGUCGGAUUAGCUAGUUGGCGGGGUAAAGGCCCACCAAGGCGACGAUCCGUAGCUGGUCUGAGAGGAUGAUCAGCCACACUGGAACUGAGACACGGUCCAGACUCCUACGGGAGGCAGCAGUGGGGAAUAUUGGACAAUGGGCGCAAGCCUGAUCCAGCCAUACCGCGUGGGUGAAGAAGGCCUUCGGGUUGUAAAGCCCUUUUGUUGGGAAAGAAAAGCAGCAGGUUAAUACCCCGCUGUUCUGACGGUACCCAAAGAAUAAGCACCGGCUAACUUCGUG